CUCCAUACCUGCCUCCGGGCCGGCCCCGCAGUCCGUGAUGGGGAGCCCCUGGGCAAGCCGAGCCCCGCGGGGCCGCUGAGGGAGCUUGUGCUGGGGAAGGCACCCGAGACCCGCGGGCGGCGGCUCGGGGUGGCCCCCGGAGCCCCGAGGGCAGCGGCAUCCCUGACGGGGUGAAGUGACCCCCACCCGCCCCCCCUAAAUACUCCUCUGGGGUUUAACGUUGGUUUAAUGGAGAUUUGGAAGCUGGGAUUCUAUGAUAUUUCCAUGCGAUGGCAAAACGCUAAUUCUUCAGUUGGAUAUAGUCAGAAAGACCAUCCUUUGAGCAAAUAUCUACAGUAACUUCUACAGAGACUGUAUGAAACACUGCUUCAGAAUAACCUGGCUACUUUUUCUACAUGACCACAAAGCAAGAUACAGGGCUUGGAAACAGCGUGACCCCUUCGCACAGGAGCAGCAGCACUGCAUGUUACCAGCAGACCACUUUUGAUUCAGCUACUUGGUGACAGAGACAUAUUCUAGGAGCAGCUGAACAUAUUUCUGUUUCCUUUUCCUGCCUCCUCCUUGUGAGCAUUAGAAGUUCCUGCUUUCAACAUUGCUGCUGAGUUCAUCGGGACCCUUCAGCAGGGAGAAAAAAGCCUUCUACUCCAUGACAGAACAAACACUAACUCCAUGACACACAGCUGACAGAAGCCACCAAAACCAGCCCUUCUCCCACUUUUAGUGAUGCAAAUGGAAAUCCUCAAAGAUGAGAAAGACUCUGGUGUCAAUAGCUUUGCAUUCACUCAAGACACACACAGACACGGAGCUGUGCCAGUGGGAGAAAGCUACAUCUCUGGGAAACUCAUGGAGAAACUGGGAAACUCAUGGAGAUUCAUGCCUGUGAGCAAUUCCCCUGCAGAAACAAGAGGUGCAGAAAUUUCAUCAGGAAAUUCACUUCAGGAGAACAAACGUGCAAUGGCAACAAACUGGAAAAAACCCCAAACCCUGGUCCUGAUCCAGCCAGACGUGAUGUCUAGAUUGACACAGGAUCCUGCUGUUAAGCUCCUCUUUUUCCUGCUUCAGGAGGGCAUUUUCUUCUUCCAAGUCGGAUAUGCGCUAUGAAACAAGGCAAAGAAUUACCACUUGCUGCAGGUCAGAGCCUCUGCAGAGGGAUUACAUUUCAGCUGGCUGGAGCCAGGCAGCUUUGUUCAGGCUUUCUUUGCUGUUUAAAAGACCUAUCCCCUUGUACAAAGGAUAACUGGCAAAGCAUAUGAGGAGUUGAAGCGUAUGAGAAGUGCACUGCAACAACAGACACUAACUUUUCUUUUCCUGAGUGCAUUUCUCCCUAAAACUAAUGUUUUCAGCAGAAUCUUACAAAAUACUGAGCAGCUGGAAUUGGCGGCCAGGAUCUGCAGGAGCAAAACUCUUACAAGUUAUCAGGUCAAUAAACCAGAGGUUUAUUUCCACUUCUCAAUGGACUUCACCACCAUCUUCAAGUCAUAGAACUGAUUGCUGUUGGGGGGCGGGGAAAAAUCUGCUGAUUGUUUCAAGCAAUGUAGGACUUGAUUACUUAGGAUGGACACAGUGAAUAUGGGUGCUAAUAUUAAAUAAUUCAGGCUUUUUUAACUUCAUGUGUACUGUAUCCAGUUCAAGAAACAGUCACUUUAAUGCUACAUGCUACUGCAGAACCUCAAGUACAGGGAUGCAUGGCAUGUACCAGGGCCCUU
Strigops habroptila (Kakapo) is the source of this 1706-nucleotide long non-coding RNA. RefSeq lists it as uncharacterized. The transcript is spliced from 6 exons. The record is from RefSeq and is a predicted model, not a curated record. NCBI's taxonomy places the organism in Eukaryota, Metazoa, Chordata, Aves, Psittaciformes, Psittacidae.